This 90-nucleotide transfer RNA is filed under the name Ignavibacteriales bacterium. RNAcentral's name for it is "tRNA-Ser". It matches the Rfam family "tRNA". From Rfam's summary of the family: Transfer RNA (tRNA) molecules are approximately 80 nucleotides in length. Their secondary structure includes four short double-helical elements and three loops (D, anti-codon, and T loops). Lineage: Bacteria; Pseudomonadati; Ignavibacteriota; Ignavibacteria; Ignavibacteriales. The record is from RNAcentral.
GGAAGGGUGCGAGAGUGGUUAAAUCGGCCGGUCUCGAAAACCGGAAUACCCUCCGGGGUAUCGAGGGUUCGAAUCCCUCCCCUUCCGCCA